UACGGAGGGUGCAAGCGUUAUCCGGAUUCACUGGGUUUAAAGGGUGCGUAGGAGGGCAGGUAAGUCAGUGGUGAAAUCCCCAAGCUUAACUUGGGAACUGCCAUUGGUACUAUCUGUCUUGAAUACCGUGGAGAUGAGCGGAAUAUGUCAUGUAGCGGUGAAAUGCUUAGAUAUGACAUAGAACACCAAUUGCGAAGGCAGCUCGUUACACGAAUAUUGACUCUGAGGCACGAAAGCGUGGGGAUCAAACAGG
RNAcentral lists this ribosomal RNA (253 nucleotides) under uncultured bacterium. Its description in RNAcentral is "partial 16S ribosomal RNA". It matches the Rfam family "Bacterial small subunit ribosomal RNA", at positions 524 to 776 of the family's 1533-position model. The record is from RNAcentral.